CUGAAGAGGAGGUAGAGGAUCUGGCAGAGGACAGUCUGUGUAGCAGCUAUGUGUCCGACACUGAAAAGAAAUUAAGAAAAAAGAAAGUUUCAGGCAGACCACCUCCUUCUCCUAGGUCACCAUAUCUGAACAGUGCAAGCUUGCAUCUGAAGAGAACUCCAGUAGCAUCAUGGAGGACAGUGAAAGGGACACA
Sinocyclocheilus rhinocerous is the source of this 193-nucleotide long non-coding RNA. RefSeq lists it as uncharacterized. The record is from RefSeq and is a predicted model, not a curated record. NCBI's taxonomy places the organism in Eukaryota, Metazoa, Chordata, Actinopteri, Cypriniformes, Cyprinidae. The transcript has 4 exons.